Molecule: ribosomal RNA, 201 nt
Filed under: uncultured bacterium
Lineage: Bacteria
Description: partial 16S ribosomal RNA
Rfam family: Bacterial small subunit ribosomal RNA
Source: RNAcentral
UACGAAGGGGGCUAGCGUUGCUCGGAAUCACUGGGCGUAAAGCGCACGUAGGCGGCUUUCUAAGUCAGGGGUGAAAUCCUGGAGCUCAACUCCAGAACUGCCUUUGAUACUGGAGAGCUUGAGUCCGGAAGAGGUGAGUGGAACUCCGAGUGUAGAGGUGAAAUUCGUAGAUAUUCGGAAGAACACCAGUGGCGAAGGCGG